UGGGGAAUAUUGCACAAUGGGCGCAAGCCUGAUGCAGCAACGCCGCGUGAGGGACGACGGCCUUCGGGUUGUAAACCUCUUUUAGUAGGGAAGAAGCGAAAGUGACGGUACCUGCAGAAAAAGCACCGGCUAACUACGUGCCAGCAGCCGCGGUAAUACGUAGGGUGCAAGCGUUGUCCGGAAUUAUUGGGCGUAAAGAGCUCGUAGGCGGUCUGUCGCGUCUGCUGUGAAAACCCGAGGCUCAACCUCGGGCCUGCAGUGGGUACGGGCAGACUAGAGUGCGGUAGGGGAGAUUGGAAUUCCUGGUGUAGCGGUGGAAUGCGCAGAUAUCAGGAGGAACACCGAUGGCGAAGGCAGAUCUCUGGGCCGUAACUGACGCUGAGGAGCGAAAGCGUGGGGAGCGAACAGGAUUAGAUACCCUGGUAGUCCACGCCGUAAACGUUGGGCGCUAGAUGUGGGGACCAUUCCACGGUUUCCGUGUCGCAGCUAACGCAUUAAGCGCCCCGCCUGGGGAGUACGGCCGCAAGGCUA
RNAcentral lists this ribosomal RNA (531 nucleotides) under uncultured bacterium. Its description in RNAcentral is "bacterial SSU rRNA". It matches the Rfam family "Bacterial small subunit ribosomal RNA", at positions 355 to 896 of the family's 1533-position model. The record is from RNAcentral.